UCCUGACUGACCGAUAGUGAACCAGUACCGUGAGGGAAAGGCGAAAAGAACCCCGGCGAGGGGAGUGAAAAAGAACCUGAAACCGUGUACGUACAAGCAGUGGGAGCACGCUUAGGCGUGUGACUGCGUACCUUUUGUAUAAUGGGUCAGCGACUUAUAUUCUGUAGCAAGGUUAACCGAAUAGGGGAGCCGAAGGGAAACCGAGUCUUAACUGGGCGUUAAGUUGCAGGGUAUAGACCCGAAACCCGGUGAUCUAGCCAUGGGCAGGUUGAAGGUUGGGUAACACUAACUGGAGGACCGAACCGACUAAUGUUGAAAAAUUAGCGGAUGACUUGUGGCUGGGGGUGAAAGGCCAAUCAAACCGGGAGAUAGCUGGUUCUCCCCGAAAGCUAUUUAGGUAGCGCCUCGUGAAUUCAUCUCCGGGGGUAGAGCACUGUUUCGGCAAGGGGGUCAUCCCGACUUACCAACCCGAUGCAAACUGCGAAUACCGGAGAAUGUUAUCACGGGAGACACACGGCGGGUGCUAACGUCCGUCGUGAAGAGGGAAACAACCCAGACCGCCAGCUAAGGUCCCAAAGUCAUGGUUAAGUGGGAAACGAUGUGGGAAGGCCCAGACAGCCAGGAUGUUGGCUUAGAAGCAG
RNAcentral lists this ribosomal RNA (641 nucleotides) under Shigella sonnei. RNAcentral's name for it is "partial 23S ribosomal RNA". It matches the Rfam family "Bacterial large subunit ribosomal RNA", at positions 474 to 1115 of the family's 2925-position model. Lineage: Bacteria; Pseudomonadati; Pseudomonadota; Gammaproteobacteria; Enterobacterales; Enterobacteriaceae. The record is from RNAcentral.